UUGAAGCCUUUUUAUUAUAAGCUUCCCUGUACAAGUAAAUUUGCUAUUUUUGACAUUAUGUAGGCAUGGAUGAAUGCUGAUGAAUCAAAUGGUCGUGACUCGUGAGUGAUCCAGGCAUUUUUUGAUUCAUCUUCAUGAGGUAUUUCAAAACGUCUCCCUGUUAUGUGUUUCCGGGAUAGCAAAGGUUGGCUACUAAGCUAGGUAUUGUAUCUCCAACACAAUUGAAAUGAUAGAUCAAGAAAGGCUUUGGAUUUUCAAGCUCCCAAAAUGGAGUUAUGUGUCAUUAUUAUUUACUGUGAAGAAACUAGAAACUACUGCCUCAUAAAGGGGUAGAACAUAAAUUAGCCGCCAAAGUUGGAAAGAGAUUGUCAAGGAAUGAUAAGGCGCAAGAAUUACCUCUGCAAUAUUUACUAAAACUGUGAUUGAUGGUUUAGUUCCAUUAACAGAGAUGUUCAAUUGCGUUAGUAAAACUUGAAGGGGAAUGACAAAGGAGCAUGCAUCGUACAUUAUGCAAGUAGCCAAGUUUGAUGUUGUCCCUCAACACAUUCAAAUCAGCUUGCCAAAAAGGAGGAAGCAGUAGUUUAGUCGGUCAGCUUUCAAAUUUGGAUCCACCAACUUAAAAAUAGGUGAACCAAGAAAAGAAAAAAUGUGGAUGCACAAAAGAAAAACAAGUUUUAUUCCCAAUGGCAGACGAAAACUCAAAUCGAAAUGAUCAGGAAGUAGAGAUACGCAAUGCAGAAAUAUUUGAAGACUGAUAUAACUGACGUCUUAAAAU
Molecule: long non-coding RNA, 775 nt
Organism: Solanum stenotomum
Lineage: Eukaryota; Viridiplantae; Streptophyta; Magnoliopsida; Solanales; Solanaceae
Exons: 5
Source: RefSeq, a predicted model, not a curated record